GACGAACGCUGGCGGCGUGCUUAACACAUGCAAGUCGAACGGAAAGGCCCUGCUUUUGUGGGGUGCUCGAGUGGCGAACGGGUGAGUAACACGUGAGUAACCUGCCCUUGACUUUGGGAUAACUUCAGGAAACUGGGGCUAAUACCGGAUAGGAGCUCCUGCUGCAUGGUGGGGUUGGAAAGUUUCGGCGGUUGGGGAUGGACUCGCGGCUUAUCAGCUUGUUGGUGGGGUAGUGGCUUACCAAGGCUUUGACGGGUAGCCGGCCUGAGAGGGUGACCGGCCACAUUGGGACUGAGAUACGGCCCAGACUCCUACGGGAGGCAGCAGUGGGGAAUAUUGCACAAUGGGCGGAAGCCUGAUGCAGCAACGCCGCGUGCGGGAUGACGGCCUUCGGGUUGUAAACCGCUUUCGCCUGUGACGAAGCGUGAGUGACGGUACUGGGUAAAGAAGCACCGGCUAACUACGUG
Molecule: ribosomal RNA, 467 nt
Filed under: uncultured bacterium
Lineage: Bacteria
Description: partial 16S ribosomal RNA
Rfam family: Bacterial small subunit ribosomal RNA
Source: RNAcentral